GCGGCGGGAAGGCUGCAGGUGAGGACCCCGGCUCGGGGCUGUGUGCUUGCAGGUGUGCGCGCGAUGGCGGGGACAGGACGGGGUCCGCCGCGAGCUCGUGAGGGCGGCGAGAGCAGGAAGAACCUGGGCCCGUGGUAAUGCUGAGCCGCUGAGCUGAUCACACCUGGAGCCGCCCUACCUGGCCCUGCUGGGAUCACAGACGUUUCCCCGGACAAACCCUAGCUCCGGAGCUUGCAGGACGGGGGCGACACAGAUCCGAAGAGGUUAGAGACCGAGCCGUGCGGACCGCCAAGGGGAAAUGUUGCAGGCUGAGGGAACGGAGGCUGCGUGCGUCCCGAGGCGCGGGCCUGGUGGUGCUCGAUCCGGGAUGGGGUUUUACCCAGUUUCCUCGGAGGUGGUUAGCCUGUCUCACGGACGCUGCGGGGAGACACAAGUCUCUUGGGUCAGAGACGAUGGACUUUAGUACCCUCAUGGCCCAGCAAUGCAUUCAAAGGGAGACCCUCUCCCCCUCCUGCUGGGAGGGUCUGGGAAGCCGUGCUGCACAGGACGAGGAUGGGGGGGUGCCGCCCCAGCAAGGGCAGGAACCAGGUAACUCGGGAGCUUGAGGACACGGAGAGAAUACCCCCUGCCUCUGACCAAUCACUCCGCGUCUCACGGGAAGCUUGUCUCUGGCAGCACCCCAGACUUCCCCAGGCCUGACUACGCAUCCCACGAAGGGCCAGAUGCCGCCGCCCUGUGGGUCCUAGAGAGAACCCACCCCCUUGUCUGCCGGCCUCCGAAGCAAGCCUGACCGCGGUGAGCCUUCCGGGAGUUGGGAGGGGUGGGGACAGCCUGGGAAGAGCACGUGGUGGCAGCUCUCACCAGCGCCACCGUGACCAGCCCCACCCCCACUGACUACCGGCGCUCGCCCUGCGUUCCAGCUUGCCACCGCGUUAGGAGAGCCAUUUGCUCACGCGGCGUGUGCCCCUGCUGGGAGCUGCUCUCUCGUUAUUAGCUAAUUUGCUGUGCUGUAACCGAGCCCUUCUCAUCGAUAACCAUGGCAACAAUGCGCAGCCCUGUGCAUGCCUUUAUUUUGGACUCUGGAAGCCCGAGCCCGGUCUAUUUCUGUCUCUGGGCUUCGGGGAGGCAUGGGGCCGGGGCUGGGGGACCCACCGGGGCCCGUGGUUGGGUGACUUCAAACGGAGAACUUCUCUUCUGGGGCCUCCGGGUCCCUAACCGUGGGGCACGGGCGUGAGGGUCCCGGCCUCGGAGGACCCUCCCAACGGUGUGUGUCCGCGAG
This 1279-nucleotide long non-coding RNA is filed under the name Mustela putorius furo (domestic ferret). RNAcentral's name for it is "lncRNA (ENSMPUG00000027542.1)". Lineage: Eukaryota; Metazoa; Chordata; Mammalia; Carnivora; Mustelidae. The record is from RNAcentral.